This 253-nucleotide ribosomal RNA is filed under the name uncultured bacterium. Its description in RNAcentral is "partial 16S ribosomal RNA". It matches the Rfam family "Bacterial small subunit ribosomal RNA", at positions 524 to 776 of the family's 1533-position model. The record is from RNAcentral.
UACGUAGGGGGCAAGCGUUGUUCGGAAUUACUGGGCGUAAAGGGCGCGUAGGCGGCACGACAAGUCGGGAGUGAAAGCCCGGGGCUCAACCCCGGAAUGUCUCUCGAAACUGUCGAGCUAGAGUGCGGAAGAGGCAACUGGAAUUCCCAGUGUAGCGGUGAAAUGCGUAGAUAUCUGGAGGAAUACCGGUGGCGAAGGCGGCAUCCUGGACCGACAUUGACGCUGAUGAGCGAAAGCUAGGGGAGCAAACGGG